Molecule: ribosomal RNA, 1406 nt
Filed under: uncultured bacterium
Lineage: Bacteria
Description: partial 16S ribosomal RNA
Rfam family: Bacterial small subunit ribosomal RNA
Source: RNAcentral
GAGUUUGAUCAUGGCUCAGGAUGAACGCUAGCUACAGGCUUAACACAUGCAAGUCGAGGGGAAACGACAUUGAAAGCUUGCUUUUAAUGGGCGUCGACCGGCGCACGGGUGCGUAACGCGUAUCGAACCUGCCCUUUACUCAGGGAUAGCCUUGCGAAAGUAAGAUUAAUACCUGAUAGUGUUGCGAUGAGGCAUCUUGUUGCAACUAAAGAUUUAUUGGUAAAGGAUGGCGAUGCGUCUGAUUAGGUAGUAGGCGGGGUAACGGCCCACCUAGCCGACGAUCAGUAGGGGUUCUGAGAGGAAGGUCCCCCACAUUGGAACUGAGACACGGCCCAAACUCCUACGGGAGGCAGCAGUAGGGAAUCUUCCGCAAUGGACGCAAGUCUGACGGAGCAACGCCGCGUGAGUGAAGAAGGUUUUCGGAUCGUAAAACUCUGUUGUUAGAGAAGAACAAGUGCUAGAGUAACUGUUAGCGCCUUGACGGUAUCUAACCAGAAAGCCACGGCUAACUACGUGCCAGCAGCCGCGGUAAUACGUAGGUGGCAAGCGUUGUCCGGAUUUAUUGGGCGUAAAGCGAGCGCAGGCGGUUCCUUAAGUCUGAUGUGAAAGCCCCCGGCUCAACCGGGGAGGGUCAUUGGAAACUGGGGAACUUGAGUGCAGAAGAGGAGAGUGGAAUUCCAUGUGUAGCGGUGAAAUGCGUAGAUAUAUGGAGGAACACCAGUGGCGAAGGCGACUCUCUGGUCUGUAACUGACGCUGAGGCUCGAAAGCGUGGGUAGCAAACAGGAUUAGAUACCCUGGUAGUCCACGCCGUAAACGAUGAGUGCUAAGUGUUGGAGGGUUUCCGCCCUUCAGUGCUGCAGUUAACGCAUUAAGCACUCCGCCUGGGGAGUACGACCGCAAGGUUGAAACUCAAAGGAAUUGACGGGGACCCGCACAAGCGGUGGAGCAUGUGGUUUAAUUCGAAGCAACGCGAAGAACCUUACCAAGUCUUGACAUCCUUUGACCACUCUAGAGAUAGAGCUUUCCCUUCGGGGACAAAGUGACAGGUGGUGCAUGGUUGUCGUCAGCUCGUGUCGUGAGAUGUUGGGUUAAGUCCCGCAACGAGCGCAACCCUUAUUACUAGUUGCCAGCAUUCAGUUGGGCACUCUAGUGAGACUGCCGGUGACAAACCGGAGGAAGGUGGGGAUGACGUCAAAUCAUCAUGCCCCUUAUGACUUGGGCUACACACGUGCUACAAUGGAUGGUACAACGAGCAGCGAACUCGCGAGGGUAAGCGAAUCUCUUAAAGCCAUUCUCAGUUCGGAUUGUAGGCUGCAACUCGCCUACAUGAAGCCGGAAUCGCUAGUAAUCGCGGAUCAGCACGCCGCGGUGAAUACGUUCCCGGGUCUUGUACACACCGCCCGUC